Molecule: ribosomal RNA, 440 nt
Filed under: uncultured bacterium
Lineage: Bacteria
Description: partial 16S ribosomal RNA
Rfam family: Bacterial small subunit ribosomal RNA
Source: RNAcentral
CCUACUGGCGGCAGCAGUGGGGGAUAUUGCACAAUGGGGGGAACCCUGAUGCAGCGACGCCGCGUGGGUGAAGGAGCGUUUCGGCGCGUAAAGCCCUAUCGGCAGGGAAGAAGAUGACGGUACCUGACCAAGAAGCCCCGGCUAACUACGUGCCAGCAGCCGCUGUAAUACGUAGGGGGCAAGCGUUAUCCGGAUUUACUGGGUGUAAAGGGGGCGCAGACGGCAAUGCAAGCCAGGAGUGAAAGCCCGGGGCCCAACCCCGGGACUGCUCUUGGAACUGCAUGGCUGGAGUACAGGAGGGGCAGGCGGAAUUCCUAGUGUAGCGGUGAAAUGCGUAGAUAUAUGGAAGAACACCAGUGGCGAAGGCGGCUCUCUGGUCUGCAACUGACGCUGAGGCUCGAAAGCAUGGGUAGCGAACAGGAUUAGAUACCCUUGUAGUC